CGGAUGAGGCACUUCGUUGCCUUUUAUAUUAUACAAAUUGCAAUAUUUAGUCAUUUUCGGUAGUGUUAGUUAGAUUGCAGUUAAAUGUAAAAAGUUCUGAUUCGUUUAUGAAGUGAAAUCCAAGUAAAGUUUAAAUGCUCGGUAGUGCGUAACACCGCAACGAGAUAAUCGCUGAUUCACAUUAAUUAUGUGAACAUCUGAAGUGCGCGAUAACACGCCCUGCCUUUUACGCUCGGUCACCUUAAGCUAAUCCGUGUCGAAUCGUGAAAAAUAAAUGAGAUUGUACAUGUGUCUAAUAUAAAAUCAAUACUCGGAACGACACGAGAUUUAAAUUUGCCAUUUUCUGUUUGCCAUCGCUCUUUAGUUUCCCGGGAGAUAUUGUUUUAUAGCCCACUAAUUACUCAUAGCGAGUUUUGAGUAAUCAUAAAAUAAUUCUCAUUUGAAAUUCACCUCGGUUUGGCGGUCGUUUUUGAAAUCGAGACGUAAAGGUUCCGCUAGGGCGCGCUUCCUCCUUCCGUGACGUUGGCGCGCUUGCGUCGCGCUCAGUCCGCGCGAGCUUCGCGUCGUUGCAGUCGUCUCCAAAACAAUAGUGCAGGGCUCCAUCCGGAGUCCCUGAAUCACAUUUUAAAGAGUAUAUCGCGGAGUGACAGUGACGCAGUGCAGUGAUUUUGUGGUUUUGUGGUGCGUUCGAGGUGCAAGGAAGCGGGCGAUACGGCCCGCAGCGGCGCGGAUCGAUACGGUGUGGUAUGGCGCAGCAAGUAUGAGCCAGGGGGGCUCGAGACGGCCCUACUCGCGCGGGGGCCCGCGCUGGCACCCGCGCUACAAGGACUACUGGGAUUACGAACAAAACUACAGCGAUGGCAGCAGCGCCGGCAGCCCGAAGGAGGCGUGCGUGCAGUCGCCGCCGCCCGCGCCCGCCAAGCGACACCCGCUGCCCCACGAGCAGAGGAGGAUGAGCGUCGGCGGCGGGGCGGGCGGUUCGCGGCGCGCUGAGCGUCGCGCCGCCGGGCCCUCGGAGCGCCGCAGAACAGAAAUGCGAGUGAGUCCAGGCGCAGGCGCAGGACCCUCGGCAGAGUCGCCUCAUCUGCACCACGCCGCACAUCAUCAUCAUAUGGACACAAAUCCCCUAGAGGGGGCGACGCCGCUAGAAGCGGUGGCGAGUGCUGGUUCGUCUGAUGGCGAGCUGUCCAGCAAGCCAGGAGACAGUCCCACCAGGAAGAGAAGGAGGAUCUCGCGCCAUCUGUCCUCGGGCGAGAGUAACGUGUCAGUGACGGCGCCGGCGGUCGAGAGGCGGACGCCGCGACACCACUACCAGCCGCCUCGCCGCGUCCGCUACGUGAGCGGCAACGGCGCGGGCGUGUGGCACGAACGGCUGCUGGAGCCGCACCCGCAGCACCCGUCGCAUCCGUCGCACCCGUCGCAUCCGACGCACCCGUCGCAUCCCCACCCGCACCCGCACCCCCACCCUCACCCGGCGCACCUGCCGCACGCGCACCACACGCCGCUGCUCAUGGACAUCAACCAGAUGUCGCUUCGUGGCGCGCGCCUCAGUGCCCUCGGGGGAGGGGUGGGCUGGCCGCACCACGCGCACCAUGCCCACCACGCGCACCACGCGCACCGCGACCACCCCACCAGGACGCAG
This 1642-nucleotide unclassified non-coding RNA is filed under the name Melitaea cinxia (Glanville fritillary). RNAcentral's name for it is "misc RNA ENSMCXG00005002985.1". Lineage: Eukaryota; Metazoa; Arthropoda; Insecta; Lepidoptera; Nymphalidae. The record is from RNAcentral.